This 71-nucleotide transfer RNA is filed under the name Leptotrombidium deliense. RNAcentral describes it as "tRNA-Ala for anticodon UGC". It matches the Rfam family "tRNA". From Rfam's summary of the family: Transfer RNA (tRNA) molecules are approximately 80 nucleotides in length. Lineage: Eukaryota; Metazoa; Arthropoda; Arachnida; Trombidiformes; Trombiculidae. The record is from RNAcentral.
GGGGUUGCAGCUCAAUGGUAGAGAGCUUGCCUUGCAAGCAUGAGAUCCUGGGUUCGAUUCCCAGCACCACA